AAGGCACGACAGGCGGCUGCUGAAGUCUAGCUUUAGAGGAAAGUCCGGGCUGCAAUGAGACAUGGUUCCAUCUAACAGAUGGCUGGGGUAACCCAAGGGAAAGUGCAACAGAAAUUAAACUACCGCGAAAGCGGAAAAGGUGAAACGGCGGGGCAAGAGCCCACCAGCGUUUUUAGCAAUAAAGACGGCUUUGUAAACCCAACUUGCAGCAAGAAGAGAUGGUUUAGUCUCAUAUUUUUACUCUUCGCUUGAGCGGCGCUGUGAAGCGUUGCCUAGAUAAAUAGUCGCCCACGACAGAACCCGGCUUACGGCGCGCCUUGCGC
This 323-nucleotide RNase P RNA is filed under the name Campylobacteraceae bacterium. RNAcentral describes it as "RNase P RNA component class A". It matches the Rfam family "Bacterial RNase P class A". Rfam says of the family: Ribonuclease P (RNase P) is a ubiquitous endoribonuclease, found in archaea, bacteria and eukarya as well as chloroplasts and mitochondria. Its best characterised activity is the generation of mature 5'-ends of tRNAs by cleaving the 5'-leader elements of precursor-tRNAs. The record is from RNAcentral. Lineage: Bacteria; Pseudomonadati; Campylobacterota; Epsilonproteobacteria; Campylobacterales; Campylobacteraceae.